UCCAUUCGGAUUCAGAGAGUAGACGUCUGGCCAUCUUCUUGUAGAUUGUUUUAGGCAGGAUUACAUGUCUAUACUCGUGGUCAUCAUCAAAAUACUUUUCGGAAUAUUCGAUUUCGUCGGGAAAAUGUGGCA
This 132-nucleotide non-coding RNA is filed under the name Protocruzia adhaerens. The record is from RNAcentral. Lineage: Eukaryota; Ciliophora; Spirotrichea.